RNAcentral lists this long non-coding RNA (492 nucleotides) under Ananas comosus (pineapple). RNAcentral describes it as "long non-coding RNA (ACOM_LNC016378)". The record is from RNAcentral. Lineage: Eukaryota; Viridiplantae; Streptophyta; Magnoliopsida; Poales; Bromeliaceae.
UGAGGCGGUGGAGGAAACGAUGAGGGUGAAAAGAAGUUACAUGAAAAAUAAAAAAUCAGAUAGAAAGAAAAAGAAGAUGAUGAAGUUACACUAUUUUAGAGGAACGUUGCACUGUUUUAAAGAAAACUUAUACUAUUUAAAAGAAAAAUUAAACUUUUCUGAAUAAAAAUUGCACUAUUUGAAAGAAAGUUGCACUUUUUAGACGAAAAUUACAUCAUUUCUCUUCUUCUUCCUCCUUCUUCUUUAUUUUCGUGUGGAUGAGAAAAAAUAGUGUAAUUUUUGCUUAAAGACUGUAAGUUUCAUUCAAAGAGUGCAACUUUCAUUCAGAAAAGUGUAAUUUUUUUAAAACAGUGCAAUGUUCUUUUGAAACAGUGCAUUUUCAUCAUCUUCUUCUUUUCUCUCUGAUUCUUUAUUUUUUUUAGAAAAAUAAUAUUUUUUUUAUAUUUUAUUCUUUAUUUUUUUUAUUUUAUUUAUUUUUUAUAUUUUUUUCUU